UGACAGUACUCCUACGGGGAGGCAGCAGUGGGGGAAUAUUGCACAAUGGGCGCAAGCCUGAUGCAGCCAUGCCGCGUGUGUGAAGAAGGCCUUCGGGUUGUAAAGCACUUUCAGUCGUGAGGAAGGUAGUGUAGUUAAUAGCUGCAUUAUUUGACGUUAGCGACAGAAGAAGCACCGGCUAACUCCGUGCCAGCAGCCGCGGUAAUACGGAGGGUGCGAGCGUUAAUCGGAAUUACUGGGCGUAAAGCGCAUGCAGGUGGUUUGUUAAGUCAGAUGUGAAAGCCCGGGGCGUCAACCUCGGAAUAGCAUUUGAAACUGGCAGACUAGAGUACUGUAGAGGGGGUAGGAAUUUCAGGUGUAGCGGUGAAAUGCGUAGAGAUCUGAAGGAAUACCGGUGGCGAAGGCGGCCCCCUCGGACAGAUACUGACACUCAGAUGCGAAAGCGUGGGGAGCAAACAGGAUUAGAUACCCUGGUAG
This 477-nucleotide ribosomal RNA is filed under the name uncultured bacterium. Its description in RNAcentral is "bacterial SSU rRNA". It matches the Rfam family "Bacterial small subunit ribosomal RNA", at positions 328 to 793 of the family's 1533-position model. The record is from RNAcentral.